RNAcentral lists this ribosomal RNA (497 nucleotides) under uncultured bacterium. RNAcentral describes it as "partial 16S ribosomal RNA". It matches the Rfam family "Bacterial small subunit ribosomal RNA", at positions 28 to 507 of the family's 1533-position model. The record is from RNAcentral.
GAUGAACGCUGGCGGCGUGCCUAAUACAUGCAAGUCGAGCGAACGGACGAGAAGCUUGCUUCUCUGAUGUUAGCGGCGGACGGGUGAGUAACACGUGGAUAACCUACCUAUAAGACUGGGAUAACUUCGGGAAACCGGAGCUAAUACCGGAUAAUAUUUUGAACCGCAUGGUUCAAUAGUGAAAGACGGUCUUGCUGUCACUUAUAGAUGGAUCCGCGCUGCAUUAGCUUGUUGGUAAGGUAACGGCUUACCAAGGCAACGAUGCAUAGCCGACCUGAGAGGGUGAUCGGCCACACUGGAACUGAGACACGGUCCAGACUCCUACGGGAGGCAGCAGUAGGGAAUCUUCCGCAAUGGGCGAAAGCCUGACGGAGCAACGCCGCGUGAGUGAUGAAGGUCUUCGGAUCGUAAAACUCUGUUAUUAGGGAAGAACAUAUGUGUAAGUAACUGUGCACAUCUUGACGGUACCUAAUCAGAAAGCCACGGCUAACUACGUG